CCGUGGUGUUUCGUCAAUAUGCAACUCAUUGCAUAUUGAGCUCCAAUUAACUUGUUGUUUUGCUUGUGCACUUUGCCAUGUCAUGCCCUCUUUAAACCGGACAUGCAUCAUAAUUGUUUGCGCAUCAUGCCAUGUUGUGUGAUGGUUGUUUACUAUGUUGUUUGCUUCUUUCUGGGUUGCUUCUCGCGUUAGCUUCGGUUUCGUUCCAGGGUUGUGAGGAUCCGUUCGACUUCGUCCGUUUGUCUUCUUCAUGGACUCGUUCUUCUUCCUUGCGGGAUCUCAGGCAAGAUGACCAUACCCUCGAAAUCACUUCUAUCUUUGCUUGCUAGAUGCUCGCUCUUUUGCUAUGCCUAUGCUGCGAUACCUACCACUUGCUUAUCAUGCCUCCCAUAUUGUUAAGCCAAGCCUCUAACCCACCUUGUCUUAGCAAACCAUUGUUUGGCUAUGUUACCGCUUUACUCAGCCCCUCUUAUAGCGUUGUUAGUUGCAGGUGAAGAUUGGAGCUUGUUCCAUGUUGGAACAUGGAUAUUUUGUUGGGAUAUCACAAUAUCUCUUAUUUAAUUAAUGCAUCUAUAUACUUGGUAAAGGGUGGAAGGCUCGGCCUUAUGCCUGAUGUUUUGUUCCACUCUUGCCACCCUAGUUUCCGUCAUAUCAGUGUUAUGUUCCCGGAUUUUGCAUUCCUUAUGCGGUUGGGUUAUAAUGGGAACCCCUUGACAGUUCGCCUUGAAUAAAACUCCUCCAGCAAGGCCCAACAUUGGUUUUACCAUUCGCAACCUAGCCUUUUCUUUCCCUUGGUUUCUGCAGACUCAAGGGUCAUCUUUAUUUAAACCCCCGGGCCAGUGCUCCUCUGAGUGUUGGUCCAACCUGUCAGCUGUCGGUGGCCACCAGGGGCAACUCUGGGCUGGCCUACCGGAACCUUGGACAAUCCGGUGUGCCCUGAGAAAGAGAUAUGUGCAGCUCCUAUCGGGAUUUGUCGGCACAUUCGGGUGGCUUUGCUGGUCUUGUUUUACCAUUGUCGAAAUGUCUUGUAACAGGGAUUCCGAGUCUGAUCGGGUCUUCCCGCUAGAAGGAUAUCCUUCGUUGAUCGUGAGAGCUUGUGAUGGGCUAAGUUGGGACACCCCUGCAGGGAUUUGAACUUCCGAAAGCCGUGCACGCGGUUAUGGGCAAAUGGGAAUUUGUUAAUGUCCAGUUGUAGAAAACCUGAAGUUGACCUUAAUUAAAAUGCACCAACCGCGUGUGUUACCGUGAUGGUCUCUUCUCGGCGGGGUCCGGGAAGUGAACACGGUGUUGGAGUUAUGCUUGACGUAGGUUGUUCUAGGAUCACUUCUUGAUCAUAGUUUCACGAUCGUGCUUUGCCUUCUCUUCUCACUCUCAUUUGCGUAUGUUAGCCACCAUAUAUGCUAGUCGCUUGCUGCAGCUCCACCCCAUACAUUUACCUUACCCAUAAGCUUAAAUAGUCUUGAUCGCGAGGGUGCGAGAUUGCUGAGUCCCCGUGACUCACAGAUACUUCCAAAACCAGCUUGCAGGUGCCGAUGAGUCCGUGCAGAUGACGCAACCAAGCUCAGGAGGAGCUCAACGAAGAUCAUAUCAUUUGUGUUGUUUCAUUCUAGUUGAUCAGUAGUGGAGCCCAGUUGGGGUCGAUCGGGGAUCUGUGUAGCAUUUGGGGUAGUCUUCUUUUAUUUUGGCUCCGUAGUCGGGCCCUGAUUGUAUCUAGUUGAUGUAAUGCUUGAUUCAUGUAUUUGUGUGAAGUGGCGAUUGUAAGCCAACUAUGUAUCUCUUUCCCUUAUGUAUUACAUGGGUUGUGUGAAGAUUACC
RNAcentral lists this long non-coding RNA (1815 nucleotides) under Triticum aestivum (bread wheat). RNAcentral's name for it is "long non-coding RNA (TAES_LNC014732)". The record is from RNAcentral. Lineage: Eukaryota; Viridiplantae; Streptophyta; Magnoliopsida; Poales; Poaceae.